GAAAGGCCGUAAGACACUUGCGGCUGGAUGUUUUCAUACCGGACAUCCCAAUUAGG
RNAcentral lists this non-coding RNA (56 nucleotides) under unclassified sequences. Its description in RNAcentral is "S4-Clostridia ribosomal protein leader". It matches the Rfam family "S4-Clostridia ribosomal protein leader". The record is from RNAcentral.